Molecule: long non-coding RNA, 673 nt
Organism: Pseudopodoces humilis (Tibetan ground-tit)
Lineage: Eukaryota; Metazoa; Chordata; Aves; Passeriformes; Paridae
Source: RefSeq, a predicted model, not a curated record
CCGAGGGCAUCGCUACCUCCCUGCCAUAAAAACAAACCGCUCAUCAGCUCCGCUCGGUGUGUGCCAUCGAGAGAAGUCGCCGCGGUGCGAACGGGCACCAUCUGUCCUGCCAUUCCGGGAGACGCAGAUAUAUUUCUUUAGACAGGCUACACACACGAACCUGGAGUAAUACAAACCCUCCCGUGUUGUUGCCCUCGCAAAGUGGCCGGUCCUGAAGCAUCUGAUCGGGUUUGUGUGUGUGCGCGCGCGAGUGAGAGCGAGCCACGCAGAGAGCGCUGCCAUCCAAAAGGGGAAAGAAGAGCUCAAGCUGAGAGACUUAUUAAUUGCUAAGAGCUGCUCUGCCACCAGCCAUUUCGAGUUUGCACGGUUUAUUCCUCAUGAAGGGGAGGAAUGAAACGUGGGCAAAUGCGGGGGAGAAAAUGUGCCGGCGAAGAGGAAGGAAGGAAGGAGUGGUGAAAGGAGAGGAGGAGGAGGAGGAGGGUUUAUUAAGCGAUCGCCUUGUCCCCUGAGUCCGAGCCGGCUGGGAAUUAGUAACAGCGAGAUAGCGGAGGCUGUAUCCCUCCCUCUUCCUCCGCUUUCCUUUUCCUGGAGCGCUCAGACCCCCUGACAAUUAUUACCCUGGUAUCAACACGGACAACGAGCUGUAUUCAUCAAACCUCAUUUGGGAAAUUGA